AUUGAACGCUGGCGGCAGGCCUAACACAUGCAAGUCGAACGGUAACAGGAAGCAGCUUGCUGCUUUGCUGACGAGUGGCGGACGGGUGAGUCAUGUCUGGGAAACUGCCUGAUGGAGGGGGAUAACUACUGGAAACGGUAGCUAAUACCGCAUAACGUCGCAAGACCAAAGAGGGGGACCUUAGGGCCUCUUGGCAUCGGAUGUGCCCAGAUGGGAUUAGCUAGUAGGUGGGGUAACGGCUCACCUAGGCGACGAUCCCUAGCUGGUCUGAGAGGAUGACCAGCCACACUGGAACUGAGACACGGUCCAGACUCCUACGGGAGGCAGCAGUGGGGAAUAUUGCACAAUGGGCGCAAGCCUGAUGCAGCCAUGCCGCGUGUAUGAAGAAGGCCUUCGGGUUGUAAAGUACUUUCAGCGGGGAGGAAGGGAGUAAAGUUAAUACCUUUGCUCAUUGACGUUACCCGCAGAAGAAGCACCGGCUAACUCCGUG
RNAcentral lists this ribosomal RNA (490 nucleotides) under uncultured bacterium. RNAcentral describes it as "partial 16S ribosomal RNA". It matches the Rfam family "Bacterial small subunit ribosomal RNA", at positions 30 to 507 of the family's 1533-position model. The record is from RNAcentral.